GACGAACGCUGGCGGCGUGCCUAAUACAUGCAAGUAGAACGCUGAAGAGAGGAGCUUGCUCUUCUUGGAUGAGUUGCGAACGGGUGAGUAACGCGUAGGUAACCUGCCUUGUAGCGGGGGAUAACUAUUGGAAACGAUAGCUAAUACCGCAUAACAAUGGAUGACACAUGUCAUUUAUUUGAAAGGGGCAAUUGCUCCACUACAAGAUGGACCUGCGUUGUAUUAGCUAGUAGGUGAGGUAACGACUCACCUAGGCGACGAUACAUAGCCGACCUGAGAGGGUGAUCGGCCACACUGGGACUGAGACACGGCCCAGACUCCUACGGGAGGCAGCAGUAGGGAAUCUUCGGCAAUGGGGGCAACCCUGACCGAGCAACGCCGCGUGAGUGAAGAAGGUUUUCGGAUCGUAAAGCUCUGUUGUAAGUCAAGAACGAGUGUGAGAGUGGAAAAUUCACACUGUGACGGUAGCUUACCAGAAAGGGACGGCUAACUACGUGCCAGCAGCCGCGGUAAUACGUAGGUCCCGAGCGUUGUCCGGAUUUAUUGGGCGUAAAGCGAGCGCAGGCGGUUUGAUAAGUCUGAAGUUAAAGGCUGUGGCUCAACCAUAGUUCGCUUUGGAAACUGUCAAACUUGAGUGCAGAAGGGGAGAGUGGAAUUCCAUGUGUAGCGGUGAAAUGCGUAGAUAUAUGGAGGAACACCGGUGGCGAAAGCGGCUCUCUGGUCUGUAACUGACGCUGAGGCUCGAAAGCGUGGGGAGCGAACAGGAUUAGAUACCCUGGUAGUCCACGCCGUAAACGAUGAGUGCCAGGUGUUGGAUCCUUUCCGGGAUUCAGUGCCGCAGCUAACGCAUUAAGCACUCCGCCUGGGGAGUACGACCGCAAGGUUGAAACUCAAAGGAAUUGACGGGGGCCCGCACAAGCGGUGGAGCAUGUGGUUUAAUUCGAAGCAACGCGAAGAACCUUACCAGGUCUUGACAUCCCGAUGCUAUUUCUAGAGAUAGAAAGUUACUUCGGUACAUCGGUGACAGGUGGUGCAUGGUUGUCGUCAGCUCGUGUCGUGAGAUGUUGGGUUAAGUCCCGCAACGAGCGCAACCCCUAUUGUUAGUUGCCAUCAUUCAGUUGGGCACUCUAGCGAGACUGCCGGUAAUAAACCGGAGGAAGGUGGGGAUGACGUCAAAUCAUCAUGCCCCUUAUGACCUGGGCUACACACGUGCUACAAUGGUUGGUACAACGAGUUGCGAGUCGGUGACGGCAAGCUAAUCUCUUAAAGCCAAUCUCAGUUCGGAUUGUAGGCUGCAACUCGCCUACAUGAAGUCGGAAUCGCUAGUAAUCGCGGAUCAGCACGCCGCGGUGAGUACGUUCCCGGGCCU
This 1369-nucleotide ribosomal RNA is filed under the name uncultured bacterium. RNAcentral's name for it is "bacterial SSU rRNA". It matches the Rfam family "Bacterial small subunit ribosomal RNA", at positions 28 to 1381 of the family's 1533-position model. The record is from RNAcentral.